GCAAGAUUAAAACUCAAAGGAAUAGACGGGGACCCGCACAAGCGGUGGAGCAUGUGGUUUAAUUCGAAGAUACGCGAAGAACCUUACCUGGGCUUGAUAUCCUAAGAACCUUAUAGAGAUAUGAGGGUGCUAGCUUGCUAGAACUUAGAGACAGGUGCUGCACGGCUGUCGUCAGCUCGUGUCGUGAGAUGUUGGGUUAAGUCCCGCAACGAGCGCAACCCACGUAUUUAGUUGCUAACGGUUCGGCCGAGCACUCUAAAUAGACUGCCUUCGUAAGGAGGAGGAAGGUGUGGACGACGUCAAGUCAUCAUGGCCCUUAUGCCCAGGGCGACACACGUGCUACAAUGGCAUAUACAAUGAGACGCAAUACCGCGAGGUGGAGCAAAUCUAUAAAAUAUGUCCCAGUUCGGAUUGUUCUCUGCAACUCGAGAGCAUGAAGCCGGAAUCGCUAGUAAUCGUAGAUCAGCCAUGCUACGGUGAAUACGUUCCCGGGUCUUGUACUCACCGCCCGUCACACCAUGGGAGUUGAUUUCACUCGAAGCCGGAAUACUAAACUAGUUACCGUCCACAGUGGAAUCAGCGACUGGGGUGAAGUCGUAACAAGGUAACCGUAGGAGAACCUGCGGUUGGAUCACCUCCUUU
Molecule: ribosomal RNA, 642 nt
Filed under: Campylobacter jejuni
Lineage: Bacteria; Pseudomonadati; Campylobacterota; Epsilonproteobacteria; Campylobacterales; Campylobacteraceae
Description: bacterial SSU rRNA
Rfam family: Bacterial small subunit ribosomal RNA
Source: RNAcentral